AUGAUAUGAUUGAAGAAGUUCCAGCUGUUGAUUAUCUUGUAGUCUCUUUUAGCUGUUCCUUAAAUAAAAAGAUAUUGUACGCAUUACUCAGUACAAGGAAACUUUGUGUGCGUUCUGAUUUAGUUGCUUCUACUACCAAGUUGUCUUCUCCGGCAAUUUUUUUUUCCGUGUUCUAGAUCAUGCUGCAGUUUAGUUGGCCCGACGCCUACAGUUUAGCUGGCUCGACGCCUUGUGUGCUCACUUUCGUCUUGCCAAGGUUAUGUCUUCCUCNNNNNNNNNNAUUUUUUUCCGUGGUCUAGAUCAUGCUGCAGUUUAGUUGGCCCGACGCCUACAGUCUAGCUGUCCCGACGCCUUGUGUGCUCACUUUCGUCUUGCCAAGGUUAUGUCUUCCUCCUUCACCCUUCUUUACAUUUGCUCAUUUCAUAUGCAGUAUUUUACUGAAUUGUGUGUGUUCCGUGUGCUGUGUCCUUUCUUCCUUACUAUUACUUAUUGUUGCUUGUUAUAUUUAUACCUUGUGUCCCGCUUAUCGUUGUCUCAUUGCUUUGUAUACCCCGGAUGGGUGCUGUCAUAUAUUUUUUCAUACCUAUUCUGGAAACCAUGGCAAAAAAUAUAUACUUAGACACAUAUCACUACUUUGUAUACCAAGGAUAAGAGCAGGAUAUGUGUUGUCAUAUCAUUGCUUUGUAUACUCAGGAUGUGUGCACUAGCUCUACCAAACUCACUUCCCUGCUUUCCUUUUUGUUGAAAGAACUGUGAGCUUAGUCCUGAACCGUAGUCCUGAACCUGCACUAAUUAUACUAAUCUUUAUUUUCACUUCAUUAUAUCACUCUGCUUUGAAUGGCUACAGUUUCAAGCUACCUCUGUAUUGAUGCGUAUAUGUUGUCGAGAGGAUCCAAUUUAAGUACUAUAAUGUAGCCAAUUAUUUCUUGGAUGUGGUAAACUUACACCUUCAUUCUAUUUUUAUUUUGCUCUUUUGUUGAGUACAUUUAGAUAUAAUUAGAAUCAUAGUAGCUUUUUGCUAACAUCUAAGGCCCUUUUUAAAUAGUUUGAUUUGGUGAGAAUGGAAUGUAUUUUGCCCGAGAGAGUACUCUUCCUUCAAGCAACAGAAAACAUAGAUGAUUUUGGUUUCAUCCUUUAAUUUUUUUUUCUUUCUGCACCUUUUGCAGACAUUAUAUAGUUCAACCGAGCCAUUGUGCUUAAUCAUCUUAUGUUGGUUGCUAUUGGUAUGUGGGAUAUGCAUCAAUGGAAUGAGCAGAGGANNNNNNNNNNCUUUUUGCACCUUUUGCUGACAUUAUAUAGUUCAACCGAGCCAUUGUGCUUAAUCAUCUUAUGCUGGUUGCUAUUGGUAUGUGGGAUAUGCAUCAAUGGAAUGAGCAGAGGAAUCCCCGAUCCUUCUACGACAUGUUCGAGAAGGGUCAGCUCAGCGUCAUUCUCGAGGAGCAAUUGGGUGCAGCCUUGCAAGGGCGCAUGAGGCUGGGCCUCCUCUAUUUCCGGUGAGUUCAUCCUAUUUUUUGUUCUCCUUCACUAGCUUUCAUUUUUAUGUAGUUAUUUCAUUUAUCCAUGACAUCGACCAUCCUCNNNNNNNNNNGCCCCGAUCCUUCUACGACAUGUUCGAGAAGGGUCAGAUCAGCGUCAUUCUCGAAGAGCAAUUGGGUGCAGCCUUGCAAGGGCGCAUCAGGCUGGGCCUCCUCUAUUUCCGGUGAGUUCAUCCUAUUUUUUUUCUCCUUCACUAGCAUUCAUUUUUAUGUAGUUAUUUCAUUUAUCCAUGACAUCGACCAUCCUCUGUUUUAGUUAUGAAGUAAUAACAAAUGUGUCGUGCAAUGCCUGUAGGAAAGAGUUUAUAUUAGUUGUUCCAGUCUUUGCCUAUACCUUUAUGGCGAGUAGGCUUAACUCUUUCGAACUGUAAUCUUGUCUUAGGUGGAUUCGUUUUUACAACCAACAGAAAAGAAUUGUGCCUUGGACCAUUUUUUUUNNNNNNNNNNAUAAUCUUGUCUUAGGUGGAUUUGUUUUUACAACCAACAGAAAAGAAUUGUGCCUUGGACCAUUUUUUUUUCUGUAAUUGAGAAAACUUUCAAGCUAUAAUCGUACGGGCUGAUCUGAUACAUUAUUAUUUGGCCCCACCAGAUUAACGGUUCAUAAUUACUGAUUAAUGUGGUAAUUUUUAGAGAGUUCCUAAUUAGUAUAAGUAUAGACUUCAAGAAUUAAUAGGUGCUAGAGGUACUAACAUUUUGUUCUUCUGUUUCCUAGGUUCAGAAAAUAAUGGAGAAGAUCUCAGAAAAAACAAGAACGCAGAUUGCUGCUAAGGGAUAUAUUCUUCAGGAUGGAUUUGUGAUGAGUAAUCUCCCUGUUCCACCGAGCAUGCAGGAACAUCAAGGGUAUGUAGAUAAUAUGCAAAUGAAGUGCN
RNAcentral lists this long non-coding RNA (2404 nucleotides) under Hordeum vulgare. Its description in RNAcentral is "long non-coding RNA (HVUL_LNC017843)". The record is from RNAcentral. Lineage: Eukaryota; Viridiplantae; Streptophyta; Magnoliopsida; Poales; Poaceae.